AGCAGCAGCCGCGGUAAUACGGAGGGAGCUAGCGUUGUUCGGAAUUACUGGGCGUAAAGCGCGCGUAGGCGGUUACUCAAGUCAGAGGUGAAAGCCCGGGGCUCAACCCCGGAACUGCCUUUGAAACUAGGUGACUAGAAUCUUGGAGAGGUCAGUGGAAUUCCGAGUGUAGAGGUGAAAUUCGUAGAUAUUCGGAAGAACACCAGUGGCGAAGGCGACUGACUGGACAAGUAUUGACGCUGAGGUGCGAAAGCGUGGGGAGCAAACAGGAUUAGAUACCCGUGUAGUCCCUGUCUCUUAUAU
Molecule: ribosomal RNA, 303 nt
Filed under: uncultured bacterium
Lineage: Bacteria
Description: partial 16S ribosomal RNA
Rfam family: Bacterial small subunit ribosomal RNA
Source: RNAcentral